Molecule: ribosomal RNA, 465 nt
Filed under: Vreelandella stevensii
Lineage: Bacteria; Pseudomonadati; Pseudomonadota; Gammaproteobacteria; Oceanospirillales; Halomonadaceae
Description: partial 16S ribosomal RNA
Rfam family: Bacterial small subunit ribosomal RNA
Source: RNAcentral
CCUACGGGAGGCAGCAGUGGGGAAUAUUGGACAAUGGGCGAAAGCCUGAUCCAGCCAUGCCGCGUGUGUGAAGAAGGCCUUCGGGUUGUAAAGCACUUUCAGUGGGGAAGAAAGCCUUGGGGCUAAUACCCUCGAGGAAGGACAUCACCCACAGAAGAAGCACCGGCUAACUCCGUGCCAGCAGCCGCGGUAAUACGGAGGGUGCGAGCGUUAAUCGGAAUUACUGGGCGUAAAGCGCGCGUAGGCGGUCUGAUAAGCCGGUUGUGAAAGCCCCGGGCUCAACCUGGGAACGGCAUCCGGAACUGUCAGGCUAGAGUGCAGUAGAGGAAGGUAGAAUUCCCGGUGUAGCAGUGAAAUGCGUAGAGAUCGGGAGGAAUACCAGUGGCGAAGGCGGCCUUCUGGACUGACACUGACGCUGAGGUGCGAAAGCGUGGGUAGCAAACAGGAUUAGAUACCCGAGUAGUC